Molecule: ribosomal RNA, 1245 nt
Filed under: 'Prunus persica' leaf phytoplasma
Lineage: Bacteria; Bacillati; Mycoplasmatota; Mollicutes; Acholeplasmatales; Acholeplasmataceae
Description: bacterial SSU rRNA
Rfam family: Bacterial small subunit ribosomal RNA
Source: RNAcentral
AUAGGAAGAUAAAAGGCAUCUUUUAUCUUUUAAAAGACCUAGUAAUAGGUAUGCUUUAGGAGGGGCUUGCGCCAUAUUAGUUAGUUGGUAGGGUAAUGGCCUACCAAGACGAUGAUGUGUAGCUGGACUGAGAGGUUGAACAGCCACAUUGGGACUGAGACACGGCCCAAACUCCUACGGGAGGCAGCAGUAGGGAAUUUUCGGCAAUGGAGGAAACUCUGACCGAGCAACGCCGCGUGAAUGACGAAGUACUUCGGUAUGUAAGUUCUUUUAUCAAGGAAGAAAAGCAAAUGGCGAACCAUUUGUUUGCCGGUACUUGAUGAAUAAGCCCCGGCUAAUUAUGUGCCAGCAGCCGCGGUAAGACAUAAGGGGCAAGUGUUAUCCGGAAUUAUUGGGCGUAAAGGGUGCGUAGGCGGUCUAGUAAAGUCAGUGGUGUAAUGGCAACGCUUAACGUUGUCCGGCUAUUGAAACUGCUAAACUUGAGUUAGAUAGAGGCGAGUGGAAUUCCAUGUGUAGCGGUAAAAUGCGUAAAUAUAUGGAGGAACACCAGAGGCGUAGGCGGCUCGCUGGGUCUUAACUGACGCUGAGGCACGAAAGCGUGGGGAGCAAACAGGAUUAGAUACCCUGGUAGUCCACGCCGUAAACGAUGAGUACUAAGUGUCGGGUUAAACCGGUACUGAAGUUAACACAUUAAGUACUCCGCCUGAGUAGUACGUACGCAAGUAUGAAACUUAAAGGAAUUGACGGGACUCCGCACAAGCGGUGGAUCAUGUUGUUUAAUUUGAAGAUACCCGAAAAACCUUACCAGGUCUUGACAUGUUUUUGCAAAAUGAUAGUAAUAUCGUGGAGGUUACCAGAAACACAGGUGGUGCAUGGUUGUCGUCAGCUCGUGUCGUGAGAUGUUAGGUUAAGUCCUAAAACGAGCGAAACCCUUAUCGUUAGUUGCCAGCACGUUAUGGUGGGGACUUUAACGAGACUGCCAAUGAUAAAUUGGAGGAAGGUGAGGAUCACGUCAAAUCAGCAUGCCCCUUAUGACCUGGGCUACAAACGUGAUACAAUGGCUGUUACAAAGGGUAGCUGAAACGCAAGUUCUUGGCCAAUCCCCAAAAACAGUCCCAGUCCGGAUUGAAGUCUGCAACUCGACUUCAUGAAGUUGGAAUCGCUAGUAAUCGCGAAUCAGCAUGUCGCGGUGAAUACGUUCUCGGGGUUUGUACACACCGCCCGUCAAACCACGAAAGUUGGCAA